Molecule: ribosomal RNA, 253 nt
Filed under: uncultured bacterium
Lineage: Bacteria
Description: partial 16S ribosomal RNA
Rfam family: Bacterial small subunit ribosomal RNA
Source: RNAcentral
UACGUAGGGUCCGAGCGUUGUCCGGAAUUACUGGGCGUAAAGAGCUCGUAGGUGGUUUGUCGCGUUGUUCGUGAAAACUCACAGCUUAACUGUGGGCGUGCGGGCGAUACGGGCAGACUUGAGUACUGCAGGGGAGACUGGAAUUCCUGGUGUAGCGGUGGAAUGCGCAGAUAUCAGGAGGAACACCGGUGGCGAAGGCGACUCUUUGGUCUGUAACUGACGCUGAGGCGCGAAAGCGUGGGGAGCAAACAGG